Molecule: transfer RNA, 72 nt
Filed under: Ovis aries (sheep)
Lineage: Eukaryota; Metazoa; Chordata; Mammalia; Artiodactyla; Bovidae
Rfam family: tRNA
About the family: Transfer RNA (tRNA) molecules are approximately 80 nucleotides in length. Their secondary structure includes four short double-helical elements and three loops (D, anti-codon, and T loops).
Source: Rfam by way of RNAcentral
UCCCUAGCGGCUAAGAGGUUAAAGCGUCUGCCUCCAAUGCAGGAGACCCAGGUUUGAUCCCUGGGUCGGGAA